This 207-nucleotide ribosomal RNA is filed under the name uncultured bacterium. RNAcentral's name for it is "partial 16S ribosomal RNA". It matches the Rfam family "Bacterial small subunit ribosomal RNA", at positions 568 to 774 of the family's 1533-position model. The record is from RNAcentral.
UAGGUAGGUGGUCCCGUUUGUUUGGGGUGAAAGCCUUAGGCUUAACCUAAGAAGUGCCUCAAAAACGGUGGGACUAGAGUCCUGGAGAGGGUCGUGGAAUUCCCGGUGUAGCGGUGAAAUGCGUUGAGAUCGGGAGGAACACCAGAGGCGAAAGCGGCGGCCUGGACAGGAACUGACACUAAACUACGAAAGCGUGGGGAUCAAACA